Molecule: long non-coding RNA, 224 nt
Filed under: Nicotiana benthamiana
Lineage: Eukaryota; Viridiplantae; Streptophyta; Magnoliopsida; Solanales; Solanaceae
Description: long non-coding RNA (NBEN_LNC039234)
Source: RNAcentral
GUCAUAACCAACAAUGAAAUAUAGGAAGAGGAAGGAAAAACUUGUAGAAGAAUACACCGCCUUGCUCAUAUUGUGUCUCUGCCGCCUUUCAUGUAUAUAUACAAAGUAGGGUUAGGCCCAAACAAUUAUACCUUCAUAUACGCGAAAAGGACAAUUUUUUUCAGGUUUGGACACUGGGUCCGGGCGUGGCACGGACGCGGUAUUUGGCAAGUGUAUUGCCUCUG